Molecule: long non-coding RNA, 420 nt
Filed under: Lactuca sativa (garden lettuce)
Lineage: Eukaryota; Viridiplantae; Streptophyta; Magnoliopsida; Asterales; Asteraceae
Description: long non-coding RNA (LSAT_LNC007534)
Source: RNAcentral
GUCUCGAGAAGUAACUGGGAGGAACCCUGUGGCACCAUUUUUGUUCUCUUUCUGGGUGUCUCUUUUCAUUAGUGAUCGAUAGAAUUCCAUAACUGCUGGCACACGUCUUACAGCUCUUGAUCCAACCGGAGACGAAGGUAGAGGUGGCGGUGGUGGCGGUGGUGCGAUUACUCGUUUUUGCAGCGACUGUGGUGGAGAAGGUGGUGGUUUUGGUAGAAUCGCAUUUGCUUCUGUAUGGUUUGAAGUUGGUUUCUUUAAUGGUGCCUCUGGUACUGCAACUUGAAGCUUGGUUUUUUGUGUUGGUUCGUCUAUAACCUUGCCGCAAUCCAUCGAACUCUGUAAUUUCUUCCAUAGCAUCGAUUUCCUCUCUAAAUCAUGUGCUUUUAGUGUGUUGAUUUGUGCCUUAAGACGACCCAUUUC